CCGAAACCAAGGAAACCACGCUUUCCUUGCGAUGUGACGGCUUUCCUUUAAACAGUUCUUCAUGCAUUCACAUUCUCUGCUUGCUGUCUUCACACAGUGGAACGCCCACCAGAGGAAUAGCUCCACACUUGACAAGGAGGACAGCAGUGGAGAACAAGACAGUCAGAUCCUUCCCUCUCCAAGGGUGCCUGGAGCCCCGAUUCCCAAAGCGAGGGAUGAGACAGUGGGACCUGAUCCCGCAGUGAGACAGGAACCCAAGCCUUAGGUGGGACAGCUCUCUGGAAGUGGGAAGCGGCCAGGUGUGGACCAAACACACUCCAGGAAGUCAGCGACGGCAGAGGUGACAUUGAUCUCAUGCUUUUUGGUAUGGAGUAUUCAAAAUAUUCAGAUGUCCUUCCACUCUCUUCCCCCAGUGCCC
This 418-nucleotide long non-coding RNA is filed under the name Ursus maritimus (polar bear). Its description in RNAcentral is "lncRNA (ENSUMAG00000008684.1)". The record is from RNAcentral. Lineage: Eukaryota; Metazoa; Chordata; Mammalia; Carnivora; Ursidae.